This is a long non-coding RNA of Melanotaenia boesemani (Boeseman's rainbowfish), 1807 nucleotides long. RefSeq lists it as uncharacterized. Lineage: Eukaryota; Metazoa; Chordata; Actinopteri; Atheriniformes; Melanotaeniidae. The transcript has 6 exons. The record is from RefSeq and is a predicted model, not a curated record.
UGUCUCACCGAACGCUACGUCAGAAAGGCAGCGUGGAGUCCUGGAUACGUGCCGCGCAUGCGCAGUAACGUAGCAGCUGUUUGUAGUACAGUAUGGUGACACAGUUCUACGUAGCUUCCAGAGGACGAGUUCACGUGCAGGAUCGGGAUGAUUGACAGGUCGCCAUCUUUCCUGUUAGUGAGGAGAUAAAAGGAAAACGGCGUCAUGGCCUCAGGAAGAAGUUACCGUAGCGGUUCAGAAAAACGGAGGAAGAGAGACAGUCAGAGGUGUAGCAGCAGAAGGAAGGCUCCUUCUUCGCCUCUGGUUCCUGCAACAAGAGGGGGACACUCUCCUCCACCUUUAACUCCAGGGCCUGUCUUUGGGUGGAUCCUGCUGGACUAUCCAGCUCCUGUGGUCGCGGCCUCCUGGCUGCCCUCCAGAGAGCUGUUUCCUGUCUGCGCCGCCUCCCAGCCUGACUAAACUAAAUAUUUUAAUAUGUAGGUGUUGACAAACAUGCAGUUAUUGUGGUAUUUAUGUAUUUAUUUAUCAAUUUUACUGGUAAUUUAAGUUUGAUUGACUAAGUAUUCUAUGAAAAUGUUACCACCACUUCCUUUCUCCUCAGCGGAGCUGCUUUCAAAGUGAUUUUCCAAACACAUGAAGUUUCUGGACAAAGUAUCAGACCGGUAUCAGAUCGGUAUCAGACCGGUAUCAGAUCGGUAUCAGACCGGUAUCGGAUCGGUAUCAGACCGGUAUCAGAUCGGUAUCGCCGAUACUGGCUUGUAUUUUACUUGGUAUCGGAUCAGAAAGAAAGCGAGUGGCAUCGUACAUCACUACUCCAGUACUCCUGCUGGCAGCACGCGGUGUGACGGAAACCUACGAGCCUGCGUGCUCUAGUCUGGAGCUGCUCUUAAAGGGCCAGCGUCACUAAAAUACCCCACACAGUUAUCACAAUACCAGCUUUACAAGCAGAACGAAUGUGAACAGUUUACCAAACCAAGACUUGGUGGUUCACAUGUUGCAGCUGCAGAGCCGAAUGUCGCCAUGGCCAGGAAAGUGUCUCAGAAACAAGUCAUGGAAGGUGGAGAUUACUGGUUCUCCGGUCAGCACUGCAUCUCAGCUCUAGACCCCCAAACUCCCUUGGUGUUCCUCUGUUUGAUCGGGAGAGGAUGGAGCACAUCUGGCGGGUCCAGAAGAAGCAUGUGAAGAGCAUCCAAGAUCCACCAGGUGUUGCUCUCUGCACUAAAACUGGGAGCUGACCAAGGGAGGUGUGUGUCUGCCGGUGUUUAGGUGAACCAGAGGCUCAACUUCCUUGGAGUCUUUUCAUCUGCAGCUAAACCGCUUCAUAGCAGGUUCUAUUGUCUGAGACAUUCACUCAGUGCUUCGUCCCUUGGGUCCAUCUUCCUGAUGUGUUCAUGGAGCUUGUUUCGUCUUGGAUAGUGGCCCUGAUGCUCACUAGUCCUCAUCCUCCCUCUUUGUGCUUAGCGUAGAGUCUCUGGACACUGGAUGUGGGUGGAAGCCUCCACGCAUGGUGAACAACUUCCGUGUUUUAACAUCUGUGGUCUGAACUUCCUCCUUUGGCAGCUUAUUAUCCCAGCAGGGUGUCUUGUUGUUGCCAUCGAGCUGACUUCUAAGCACGUUGCAGGUAUUACAACAUGUACUAUAUAAAUAUAUAUAUUCAUUCGUUAUCUGUAGCACUUUGUCCAUUACGGGGAAGCUGGAGCCUGACCCAGCAUUUAACAGGUGAGAGGCAGGUACACCCUGGACAGGUCACCAGUCCAUCACAGGCCCAACACAGAAAGAGACAAACAACCUUUCACACACACACUGA